GAUGAACGCUGGCGGCGCGCCUAACACAUGCAAGUCGAACGGUUAAAGCACCUUUUAGGUGUGUAUAAAGUGGCGAACGGCUGAGUAACACGUGGGCAACCUGCCCUCCUCUUGGGGAUAGCCUCGGGAAACCGAGGAUAAUACCCGAUACUUCAAUGUGGCCGCAUGACGACAUUGAGAAAGCUUUUGCGGAGAAGGAUGGGCCCGCGGCCUGUUAGCUUGUUGGUGGGGUAGAGGCCUACCAAGGCAAUGAUGGGUAGCUGGGUUGAGAGACCGACCAGCCAGAUUGGGACUGAGACACGGCCCAGACUCCUACGGGAGGCAGCAGUGGGGAAUCUUGCACAAUGGGCGAAAGCCUGAUGCAGCGACGCCGCGUGCGGGAAGAAGGCCUUCGGGUUGUAAACCGCUUUCAGCAGGGACG
This 421-nucleotide ribosomal RNA is filed under the name Lancefieldella rimae. RNAcentral's name for it is "bacterial SSU rRNA". It matches the Rfam family "Bacterial small subunit ribosomal RNA", at positions 28 to 447 of the family's 1533-position model. The record is from RNAcentral. Lineage: Bacteria; Bacillati; Actinomycetota; Coriobacteriia; Coriobacteriales; Atopobiaceae.